This 222-nucleotide unclassified non-coding RNA is filed under the name Hevea brasiliensis (rubber tree). The record is from RNAcentral. Lineage: Eukaryota; Viridiplantae; Streptophyta; Magnoliopsida; Malpighiales; Euphorbiaceae.
GCAGAGGCUCCUAUUACUUCAACUUGGAAUUUCCUGAAUAUUUCAUGAGUAUACAGAAGCAACAUCUGUUUCUCGAAGGGAGAGGGAGACAAAAGCUCAGGCGUCUCGUGCCAUGCAUCAAAAUUAGCUUUCGCUUCCUCUUCAUACCAGUCUUCAAGAAUUAGCUUAUGUUGUCCAAUAAAGUCUCGAAGAGACAUUUCACUUUGGAUAUAUUUGUCAAAG